RNAcentral lists this ribosomal RNA (497 nucleotides) under uncultured bacterium. RNAcentral describes it as "partial 16S ribosomal RNA". It matches the Rfam family "Bacterial small subunit ribosomal RNA", at positions 28 to 507 of the family's 1533-position model. The record is from RNAcentral.
GACGAACGCUGGCGGCGUGCCUAAUACAUGCAAGUUGAGCGCUGAAGGAUGGUACUUGUACCAACUGGAUGAGCAGCGAACGGGUGAGUAACGCGUGGGGAAUCUGCCUUUGAGCGGGGGACAACAUCUGGAAACGAAUGCUAAUACCGCAUAAAAACUUUAAACACAAGUUUUAAGUGUGAAAGAUGCAAUUGCAUCACUCAAAGAUGAUCCCGCGUUGUAUUAGCUAGUUGGUGAGGUAAAGGCCCACCAAGGGGAUGAUACAUAGCCGACCUGAAAGGGUGAUCGGCCACAAUGGGACUGGGACACGGCCCAAACUCCUACGGGGGGCAGCAGUAGGGGAUCAUCGGCAAUGGACGGAAGUCUGACCGAGCAACGACGCGGGGGGGAAGAAGGGUUUCGGAUCGUAAAACUCUGUUGGUAGAGAAAAACGAUGGUGAGAGUGGAAAGCUCAUCAAGUGACGGUAACUAACGAGAAAGGGACGGCUAACUACGUG